Myodes glareolus (Bank vole) is the source of this 713-nucleotide non-coding RNA. The record is from RefSeq and is a predicted model, not a curated record. NCBI's taxonomy places the organism in Eukaryota, Metazoa, Chordata, Mammalia, Rodentia, Cricetidae.
UCGGUCCCCCAAUAUUUUAGAGAUUUCCCAGAUAACUUGGUUGGCCUUCGUGUUUUCCAUUACGAUGAGAUCACCUAGAGUAAACACAUGCAUGGGAUUUCUGACGGGAGCUGGAUGGAGCCCUAGGAAAGCACUUAGGGACCGAAGUACGGGUGCUGGGGGAAGUCAUUACUGACACGAUGUUCUCUGCUUCUGGGUAUUUUUCUUGGAAAUCAAAGAAAUAAGUAUUCAUUGCUACUACAGAAUAUGGAGACGAGUGCGCACCCCCCCAAGGGAGUGGCCUAAGGCAGACAGAAUGCGCAUGCUGUACCUAGGAAAAGGUAAACAAGGAACAAUAACUCUGGCCCCCAGGAAGGGAAGAGGAGAAGGAGGGCUCACAGUGGGCAUUGCCUUUUUGGCCCGUGAAUGUUGGAGGACACUGCAGUCGUAUUCAGAUGACAACAGUUACAGGUGUGGCCUCUUGGAAUCUGGUUCUGAACCAGCUGUGUCAACGGAGAAAGUUCAGUGGAGUGGCAUUCUCAUCGUGCACAGCAGAACUCCUGGGUCAUAGAACUUGAGGGCAGAAUAAAAUAGAUGCUUUGGACCUUGUGUAUGCAACCAUUGUUGUGUAACAGGCAACCUGUGUGCAGCCCAGGUAUGAGCUCUGUGAACCUGUGUCCUGUCCCGUGUCUGCUGCUCAGUGGCAAGGGAAGUUUGAGUGAUGCGCACUUGCA